GCUUACACAUGCAGUCGAACGAUGAACCUCCUUCGGGAGGGGAAGAGUGGCGAACGGGUGAGUAACACGUGGGCAAUCUGCCCUGCACUCUGGGAUAACUCCGGGAAACCGGAGCUAAUACCGGAUACGACCACCGCGGGCAUCCGUGGUGGUGGAAAGCUCCGGCGGUGCAGGAUGAGCCCGCGGCCUAUCAGCUGGUUGGUGGGGUGACGGCCCACCAAGGCGACGACGGGUAGCCGGCCUGAGAGGGCGACCGGCCACACUGGGACUGAGACACGGCCCAGACUCCUACGGGAGGCAGCAGUGGGGAAUAUUGCACAAUGGGCGCAAGCCUGAUGCAGCGACGCCGCGUGAGGGAUGACGGCCUUCGGGUUGUAAACCUCUUUCAGCAGGGAAGAAGCGCGAGUGACGGUACCUGCAGAAGAAGCACCGGCUAACUACGUGCCAGCAGCCGCGGUAAUACGUAGGGUGCGAGCGUUGUCCGGAAUUAUUGGGCGUAAAGAGCUCGUAGGCGGCCUGUCGCGUCGGAUGUGAAAGCCCGGGGCUUAACCCCGGGUCUGCAUUCGAUACGGGCAGGCUAGAGUUCGGUAGGGGAGAUCGGAAUUCCUGGUGUAGCGGUGAAAUGCGCAGAUAUCAGGAGGAACACCGGUGGCGAAGGCGGAUCUCUGGGCCGAUACUGACGCUGAGGAGCGAAAGCGUGGGGAGCGAACAGGAUUAGAUACCCUGGUAGUCCACGCCGUAAACGUUGGGCACUAGGUGUGGGCGGCAUUCCACGUCGUCCGUGCCGCAG
This 790-nucleotide ribosomal RNA is filed under the name Streptomyces sp. DB1. Its description in RNAcentral is "bacterial SSU rRNA". It matches the Rfam family "Bacterial small subunit ribosomal RNA", at positions 46 to 851 of the family's 1533-position model. Lineage: Bacteria; Bacillati; Actinomycetota; Actinomycetes; Kitasatosporales; Streptomycetaceae. The record is from RNAcentral.